UAAUUAUUGAAAAAUUACAUAUUAAAUUUUGUAAAUAUUCUCUACAGGUACCUAGAAGAUCAACAAACCUAGCAGUGAUGGGAGAGUUGGGGCGCUACCCCCUAUCUCUUGAGGUUAUUCUUAAUAUGGCUAAAUUUUGGCUCAGACUCACAGAACAAAAUAACUCUCUCAUUAAAGAAGCAUUUGAAGAGUCUAAAAUUUUAUCUAAAACAUAUAAAAACAAUCGGUUGGAAAGCAUUUAUUCAUUAUUUAAAUAUCUUAAUUUAACCCCAGAAUAUUUGUUAAAUCACAAAUCUCAUAUAAAGUCAAUUAUCAUUAAAAAACUCCGAAUUAAAUAUGAUGAAAUUUGGCUUAACCAAUUAAAUAAUGACAAACCUGGCAUGGUGCAAUGAAAUAAAUUAAGGACCUACAGACUAUUUAAAAAUAAUAUAGGCCUUGAAAAUAUUUUAUUGUUAAAUAAUUGUAAAACAUUAAAUGAGUUAACCAUAUUUAUAAUUAGUGCCCAUGAACUUGAAAUAGAAAAGGGAAGACAUAAGGGAAUACCCCCAGAUAAAAGAUUUUGUAAAUUAUGUAAUAAUGACAUUGUUGAGGAUGAAAUUCAUUUUCUUCUUCAAUGUCCAUCACUUAAAACUGAAAGGUCCAGUUUUAUUUCAGAUUUAUCCUCUAAAUUUACUAAUUUCAAAACUUUAA
This 690-nucleotide long non-coding RNA is filed under the name Mytilus galloprovincialis (Mediterranean mussel). Lineage: Eukaryota; Metazoa; Mollusca; Bivalvia; Mytilida; Mytilidae. The record is from RNAcentral.